AAAUCAUAAACCUUAAUUAAAAUUUAAUUUUAAUUUAUCCUUA
RNAcentral lists this transfer RNA (43 nucleotides) under Misumenops melloleitaoi. RNAcentral describes it as "tRNA-Leu". The record is from RNAcentral. Lineage: Eukaryota; Metazoa; Arthropoda; Arachnida; Araneae; Thomisidae.